Molecule: ribosomal RNA, 505 nt
Filed under: uncultured bacterium
Lineage: Bacteria
Description: partial 16S ribosomal RNA
Rfam family: Bacterial small subunit ribosomal RNA
Source: RNAcentral
AUUGAACGCUAGCGGCAUGCUUAACACAUGCAAGUCGAACGGUAACAGGUCUAGCUUGCUAGAUGCUGACGAGUGGCGGACGGGUGAGUAACGCGUAGGAAUCUACCUUGUAGUGGGGGAUAACCUGGGGAAACUCAGGCUAAUACCGCAUUAGCCCUAAGGGGGAAAGCAGGGGACCGAAAGGCCUUGUGCUAUGAGAUGAGCCUGCGUUGGAUUAGCUAGUUGGUGGGGUAAAGGCCUACCAAGGCGAUGAUCCAUAGCUGGUCUGGAAGGGACGACCAGCCACCCUGGGACUGAGACACGGCCCAGACUCCUACGGGAGGCAGCAGUGGGGAAUAUUGGACAAUGGGCGCAAGCCUGAUCCAGCAAUGCCGCGUGUGUGAAGAAGGCCUGCGGGUUGUAAAGCACUUUCAGUGGGGAGGAAGGUCUUGAUGCUAAUAACAUUAAGAAUUGACGUUACCCAAAUAAGAAGCACCGGCUAACUCUGUGCCAGCCGCCGCCGUAA